CUGGGGCACAGGGUGCCGGGCGGCCAUGUUGUCUCGGCAGGCGCAGUCUCUGCUCCAUCUGCGGCUCGGCUGAGGGAUGUCACUGACUACAUCUAGCUUAGGUUUGCGUGGGCUCUCUCUGGUCUCGUUUUCCUGGCAGCAUGGGUGAGAAGGGGCAGGCAGACACUUACUGGCUUUGGAGAGGAGCUGCCGCAGCUGAAGACACCAGAAAAAGGUAAAGCAGGAGGAGGAUGAAGUGAAGGGGAUUCUGCCAGCUGCUGCCCUCAGCUGCAGACAAGAGGCAGCUGGCCUCUCUGGGCGAGAGAGGAUCCCUCUGACGCGUCCUCAGCAGACCAGAUCUCCAACAUGCACUAUCGGGUGGAGUCAAGCGACUGGAGCUACAGAAGAGGAAGGGAGGAAAGGACAGACAGAUGGAUAAAGAAGCGCCUGAACUGUACAAUUGCCUGGCAGCGCAGAUAGUUGGAGCUCCACCCAUCACAGGUUUUUUUUCUUCUCCAUCUCUUUGUCCUGAUUUCCAUCCCUCUCUGUUUUUCACAGUCUCUCUGGCCUGUUCCUUUGUCUCUCUCUGCCUGUAUGUGUGUCCCCCCCCAUCCUUGUCUUCCCCUCUCCCUCCUUCCUUCUGCUUCUCUUUCUCUCUCACUCUGUCCUGUUAACUGUCACUGUGUUUUUUUCAAUCUGUAUCCCACUGUCCCUAUUCUUCUUCCUGUUCAUCUCUUCUUUAUCCCUCUCUGCUGCUCCCUGACUGUUACUCACCUCUUCCUCCAUCUAUCUGCAGGAGUCCUGAUACCUCUGUCUCUCUCUCUCUCUCCCCCCAUCCCUCUGUGCUGUUCGCUGUCCCUGUUUUUCUCUGUGUUAUUCUUGUCCUGCUCCCUGCCCCAUUGUUUCUCGCAGUAUCCCUCUGUCCUGCUCCCCGUCCCUAUUGCUGCCCCUAUUCUUUUUUACUCCCUCGCCUUGCUGCCCACCCUAGGCUUUUUUUGCAGUCUCUACCCUGCCCCCUGCCCUUAUUUUUCUUUCUCUCUCCUACUGUACUGUUAUGCUUGUUGUCCCUCAGUACACUGCACAGAAAUGGUGUUGGGAUCUGCAGGGACAGGUGGGACCUGCUGCAAUUGCUUAUGAAUGUGAACUGGACUUGAUGGACUUGAAGGACUUGAAUGAAACCAGACUGACUGUGUAUGGUUUUCUUCCCAACUCCAAUUCCGACCUCCAUGCUCGGCACCAAUGAACAAGAGACCUUGUGCUGUUUUCCAGAUGUCAGUGGCUGCCAGUUAGCGGAGAACAUCGCUUAGGUAAUGGUGCAGUUGUUCUGUGAACAGUACAAGACAGACAUUAAGUCCAGAGGAGGCCACGAAGUUGAUCCGAGGGCUGGAGCACCUGUGCUAUGAGGACAGGCUGAGAGAGUUGGGAUUGUUCAGCGUGGAGAAGAGAAGGCUCCGGGGAGACCUAAUUGCGGCCUUCCAGUACCCGAAGGGGCCUAGAGGAAAGAUGGGGAGGGGCUGUUUAUCAGGGGGCGUGGUGGCAGGAGAAGGGGGAAUGGGUUUAAGCUGACGGAGGGGAGAUGGAGAUGAGAUGUGAGGCAGAAAUUCUUCCCUGUGAGGGUGGUGAGGCCCUGGCACAGGUUGCCCAGAGAGGUUGUGGCUGCCCCUGGCUCCCUGGCAGUGUUCAAGGCCAGGUUGGAUGGGGCUUUGGGCAACGAUUAGCUUUGAAUGUAACAAGGCCUAUGAGUAAUUAGUGUGUACGGAGAAGAUAUCCUAACCUUGAGAACAGAAACCUCCUGGCAGGAUUGCCCAAACAGGGUUGAUGAGGAAGAACAGCUUGGCCGGACAACAGAGUUGGGGAACAUGCAAGGACAAGAAAUUGUCCUCAAGACCAUAAAAGGGAAAAAGGAGUGGGGGGCUAACUCCCCAAAUGACCACCGACGACCACGCGAGACCCCCGCGCAUGCAUAGUGUAGUUUUGCAAGGCCAGCGUUAUGUAAAUGCAGUAGCUGAGCAGAGAGGUGGAGAUUUCUCGGAAAAUGUAUGACAAUUCAUGUCGUAAGGUAUAUAAAGGGUGAACUUUUGCUUUAGGGUAUGCACGAUAGGCGGAGCUACACCCCAUGCAUCCGGUGCCUAAUAAAGCAAUGCCUGCUUUCUAAUACUAAAA
Long non-coding RNA from Grus americana (Whooping crane), 2142 nucleotides. RefSeq lists it as uncharacterized. Lineage: Eukaryota; Metazoa; Chordata; Aves; Gruiformes; Gruidae. The transcript has 4 exons. The record is from RefSeq and is a predicted model, not a curated record.